Molecule: ribosomal RNA, 253 nt
Filed under: uncultured bacterium
Lineage: Bacteria
Description: partial 16S ribosomal RNA
Rfam family: Bacterial small subunit ribosomal RNA
Source: RNAcentral
UACGUAGGGUGCAAGCGUUGUCCGGAAUUAUUGGGCGUAAAGAGCUCGUAGGCGGUUUGUCGCGUCUGCUGUGAAAACCCGAGGCUCAACCUCGGGCCUGCAGUGGGUACGGGCAGACUAGAGUGCGGUAGGGGAGAUUGGAAUUCCUGGUGUAGCGGUGGAAUGCGCAGAUAUCAGGAGGAACACCGAUGGCGAAGGCAGGUCACUGGGCCGCAACUGACGCUGAGGAGCGAAAGCAUGGGGAGCGAACAGG